AGAGUUUGAUCCUGGCUCAGGACGAACGCUGGCGGCGUGCUUAACACAUGCAAGUCGAGCGGGGAUAUCGAUUGGAAAGCUUCGGCCGGAAGAUUGAUAUUCUAGCGGCGGACGGGUGAGUAACGCGUGAGCAAUCUGUCCCAGACAGGGGGAUAACAGAUGGAAACAUCUGCUAAUACCGCAUAAGACCACGAGAUCACAUGAUUUUGAGGUAAAAGGAGCAAUUCGGUUUGGGGUGAGCUCGCGUCCGAUUAGCUAGUUGGUGAGGUAACGGCCCACCAAGGCGACGAUCGGUAGCCGACCUGAGAGGGUGAUCGGCCACAUUGGAACUGAGACACGGUCCAAACUCCUACGGGAGGCAGCAGUGGGGAAUAUUGGGCAAUGGGCGAAAGCCUGACCCAGCAACGCCGCGUGAGUGAAGAAGGCUUUCGGGUUGUAAAGCUCUGUCCUUGGGGACGAAGGAAGUGACGGUACCCAAGGAGGAAGCCCCGGCUAACUACGUGCCAGCAGCCGCGGUAAUACGUAGGGGGCGAGCGUUGUCCGGAAUGACUGGGCGUAAAGGGCGUGUAGGCGGCUCUUUAAGUAUGGAGUGAAAGUCCUGCUUUCAAGGUGGGAAUUGCUUUGUAGACUG
Molecule: ribosomal RNA, 631 nt
Filed under: uncultured bacterium
Lineage: Bacteria
Description: bacterial SSU rRNA
Rfam family: Bacterial small subunit ribosomal RNA
Source: RNAcentral